Canis lupus familiaris (dog) is the source of this 2168-nucleotide long non-coding RNA. RefSeq lists it as uncharacterized. NCBI's taxonomy places the organism in Eukaryota, Metazoa, Chordata, Mammalia, Carnivora, Canidae. The record is from RefSeq and is a predicted model, not a curated record. The transcript has 3 exons.
GUUGCCCAGCAUCUGCCGCCGCCCGGAAAGCGCUCCUGGCGGAGACGCGCAGCGCGCGGACUGGACUGCCGGGUCCGACUUCUGCCAAAGCUGGAGGCUGAAAGCCGAGAUCAGCCUCCGCCGCCGCAGGGGCACCGCAGCCUCUGUGGAUAGGGUGAAACCUGCCUCCUCUCUCAGACCAGUGUUUUGGUGCUGGUGGAGCGAACUCACGCCCCUAGCCAGCCUUCUCAGUGACUCGUGCCAAGAGUACUCGUUCACCAGCACCGCCCCUUUAAGAGAUUUCGACUGCAGACAUUUUUUAACUUUUUAAAGACAGGAUGAAGGAAUUUGAAAAGGGCUGGAAUGCAUGACCUUCAACUGAAGUUCUCUGAGGAGCUUCUAUCAAACUAAGCAAGCAAGUAAUAUGGAAGUUAAGUUAGGUUAGACUGAGAAGUGCCACUAAGACCUUCUAGAAGUAGGACUGCAUAAAAUGAGGACAAAGAAGAAAGAAAAUCCAAGGCAUAUUAUUUAAAGAUGAUUUUAAAAACCAGAAUGUUAUAUGCUGAAGUAUUAGAUGUGGGCUUCAGCCCUUAAGGCCUGCCCGCUUCUUUCCGUUCCUGAAAGUUUCUGACAUGCCUAAGUCCUUUAAAAUAUGUGUGUGUGGGUGUGUGGUAUGGUAUAAGUUCCCAUAGAAAUUAACUAUAAUUUUAAAAUGUGCACUGAGCACCUCCUUAAACAGGAAUAGCCUGGUGAGCAAAGAUUCUUAUUUAUCUUUGUAUCUCCAGACCCAGGCACUUAGCAGGCACUCAAUAAAUGUCUAUGAAAUAAAUUAAUGGUAAAUCAAAGCAUGCUUAACACACUAAAAUCAUAUAGUGCUUUCAAGAAAAAUAUGGAAAAAAAUAAGAUUUUUUUUUUGUCAUGGUGAACUGUUUUUUAGGUUUCUGUUCAGUAAUUUGUUUUCCCAGCUAUUAGCAUUUUCCUGGUUACCUCCUUCAGGAAGUACUUAUCUUAUGAAUUCAGAAGCCAUUAGUUAGUUCAUUUGCUGUAUUCAGAAUUAAAAUCGAUUAUAUAUGUUUAACAAGGAGUCAGGUUUUCCAAAGGCCUAAACACCCACUGGCUUACAAUUGAAUGUACUUUUAGAAGCCACAUUAAUUGGGACCAGAGGACAACCACAUAAAUGAAAUACGUCACUCACCCAAAUAGAUGUCUAUAAUUAAUAUACCUUUCAAAAAUACCUACUCUUGGGACUAAGGAUGAACUUGGAUAUAAUGAAAAUCUGCCUAGUUCUUAAUUUUAUCCAUGAUUUUUGCUUACUUACUCAACUAUUCUAUAAUUGUUUGGUAUCCUAGUUACUUUAAUCAGUAUUUAAUAUUCUCCUCAGAACCUGUAUAGUGGUACAAAAAUCAAAACCAACAAAACAGUGUUUGUUUUGUUUUUUUUAAUUCCUGAUGAAAACCAUCUUCUUUAGGCCAGCCAUUGAAAUUCUAUAGUCACAUACAGCCUCAGGACACCGAGGCAAAGAAAGCCAUUUAGUAACAUUUAAGGAGUUCCAGAUAGCCCUGGUUGACUUCAAGAUGACCUGAUUGUUUGCUCCUUUGGUCUAGUUUGGAUAAAGAUCUUCACAAGGCUAUUCUUUCCAAAUAGCCUCCUCUCCCUGUAGCAUGGUUUUUGUCUUACUUCCUAUCUAAUCCUAAAUUAUAUGUUAUAAGUAGCUCAUUAUUAAUCUGUAUAUUAGAUUAGUUUCUAUCCUGGUUUCUAUGUGCUGAGUAGCAAUGACCUGUAUCUCUGUCUGUCUUAAAUUGUAAUUUCCUAAGAGAUAAGAACUGGGGCCUAUGUAUAAAAUGUGAAUUUCUGGGAACUAGCUGCAUCUCCUUAGAAAUUCUCUUCCUGAUGUUACCGAAUGGUCCUCAUAGAUAAAUUCCUUUGAUAUCUAGGAGUCUAGGUUCUCACACCUGUAAGAAAUCUUGAAGAUUAACUCAUUCAAUGGUUUUCUAGACUAUGACUAUGGGAUUUCAAAAUAAACAUUAAUAGGGAAGAGCUGACAUAUAUUUGUCAACUUAUUUUGUCUAGCCAGGACCUUAAAAAACAUCUAUCAACUAUUUAUCACUAUUAUUUCCCAAAAGAAAAAAAAUAGCACAAAAAAAAGCUGAGAUGGUAUGUCAAAAAUAAAAACCAAGUAUUUAAAUAAA